RNAcentral lists this long non-coding RNA (1634 nucleotides) under Salmo salar (Atlantic salmon). RNAcentral describes it as "lncRNA (ENSSSAG00000096236.1)". Lineage: Eukaryota; Metazoa; Chordata; Actinopteri; Salmoniformes; Salmonidae. The record is from RNAcentral.
CAUUCAUAUAUUUGUUUAUUGCAGCAUAUUAAAGACAACACAGUUGCAUGUGUCUACUAAUCUUGUCAUUUUAUAGAUUUUAAUAACAUUUUUAUUUUAAUAACCUGUAUUCACCGAACAACCGUCACUGAAUGAUGAAAUUAUAACUAUUUUGUAACAAAUAAAGUUUCAGUAUACAUUUAGAAGUAUUAUAAAUGGGUCAAAUAUAGACCUGGGCCUUAUGGCAUAAAGUCCUGGUAACCUAAUGAUCUGUAACUGUUUAACAGCAAUGGAGCUCAUUUGGAAAGAAUCAAGUGUGGUGUAACUACACAUAAUGUAACAUCAUUACUUCAAUAGGCCACUAACAUUUAUAGCAACAUAACCCUGCAUUCUACUUAUAACACAUCUGUAAAAUUAAGUUAACCCUUCAGUAUUGCUGUCACCCAGAGGUCUCACUGUGCUAUAAGUCAAAGUGAAUCCAGUGAUGAAAAAAAUCACAAUGCGCAGCACAACACAUCUUCUGUAUUAAAUUCAAAUUCUGUUCAUCUCAAGUAUCAGCCCUGCUGUAAGCGGAAUUGUGCUUUCAUGUAGGUGGGUAACAGACUAUGUAAGGGAUGUAAAGUAUGUGUGGAUCAGAAGAAAAAUUAUUUGUGAUUGACUGUGUUUGACCAGAACCAAACCCGUACCAAGUGUGGCUUUUAUGUUACCUGAGUCACAUUCAGUACGAACAAAUGGGAGAAAGCGUUUUUGAAAACAAGAACGAGCAUACUUGUAGGACUAGCCCAGGUUUUACCGCCUCCGUUUCUAAACACAGUCUUCCAUUUUGUUCCAACUGAAAGCAGCCCUGUUCAUGGCUUGUUUCUGAGCGUCAGACAAAUCCUCCAAACCUGCUUUGCCAUUCCCACACACUCUGUGGUACAGUAUACUGCAUCCGGGCUGUAACAUUCCCACAUACUCUGUGGUACAGUAUACUGCAUCCAGGCUGUAACAUUCCCACACACUCUGUGGUACAGUAUACUGCAUCCGGGCUGUAACAUUCCCACACACUCUGUGGUACAGUAUACUGCAUCCGGGCUGUAACAUUCCCACAUACUCUGUGGUACAGUAUACUGCAUCCAGGCUGUAACAUUCCCACACACUCUGUGGUACAGUAUACUGCAUCCGGGCUGUAACAUUCCCACAUACUCUGUGGUACAGUAUACUGCAUCCAGGCUGUAACAUUCCCACACACUCUGUGGUACAGUAUACUGCAUCCAGGCUGUAACAUUCCCACACACUCUGUGGUACAGUAUACUGCAUCCGGGCUGUAACAUUCCCACAUACUCUGUGGUACAGUAUACUGCAUCCGGGCUGUAACAUUCCCACACACUCUGUGGUACAGUAUACUGCAUCCAGGCUGUAACAUUCCCACAAUGAGUAAUAGUACAAGAAUGGUGCAGUAAUAGUAAAGGCCACUCUUAAAGUUAAGGACCACAGGCAGUUGUCAUUAAUGGCCUAACUUGAUUGGAUGCAUAAAUAUCAAAACCUUUGGUCCAUAAUCCUGGAUUUUAUACAGCAAAGCAGCGCUUAGGUAAAUACCUGCUCAAGAAUGUCAUUCUAACAUGACUAAACUAGUUUAGUUGCCAGCAUACAAUAGACAAAUUUGGCAGUUUAAU